UGGUCGGUUGAACUGUCAGUCAAGGAGCGUCGGCUGGCGAGCUGAGCUGAAUGACAGCGCCGUGCCUCAGCAGUGUACAUACAAGACAAAAUGGGAAAUAUAUCCAGUUGACGCACUGUAGCUACAGCAUUUAGUGAAACGUGGCGGCAGACCAUUAGAGACCGGUUUAGAGAAGACCUCUUCCAUUCUAAACCAAGCUGUGACUGACGGAAGUGAACUUAGGACGGAAGGAGUUAGUGGUUUAGUCACGAAUGGCUUUCGACUCGGUUGGCGGCGACCGCGGCGGCGGUGAGGCUGCGUGGAUCAUGCAUCAGCAGAUGCAGUCUGAUCCCAAGUCUUCCUGGCCUUCCAGCUACAACUCGGACAACAGUCACUGGAACAACGGCAUGGAAUCUCAGUAUCCCGGCUACUCAAAUUAUUGGUAUCCCCAAUCGCACACGGCAGGACCUUACGGCAGCACAUACCCCCCUGGAACAGAGGUCAACGGACAGGCCUCAUACAAUCCCCAGGCAAUGUCAGCCUAUCCCAAUGGGGUGUACAAUCCAGGACAGUACUCCUCGAGUAUGCUACAUCCCUCCAACCCCUUCUACUGCAGUGAGCAGGUUCCUUCAAGACAACCUCAGUAUCACAGCCAGACCUGCCCUGAGCAAAAUGCAGGGGGUUCGGCUCCUCCCCCCUACCCUGUUCCUCACUGCCAAGGGGCCCCUGGCUACCCAGCAGGAUCAUACCCACACUAUGGAGAAGGAUGCCCUCCGAAUGCUCCCUACCCCAACCAGCAGCCCAUGCUCUCGAGACCCCAGCAUGAGGCCUGGACCCACUCUGGAGUGUACGGGCACACACCGCCCCAACAGCAAUGGCCGUCCAAUACCCAGACACCCCAUGGCCACUAUAACCAUGUACGACCACCUCACCCUCCACCGUGGCAAGGACCCGCACCACCUCCAUAUGAGCCCAAGGAUCCACCAUAUCACAGUCAGCUUCAUAUGCACCCUCGAAACCAGCCUCCAGGCUCCAAACCACGAGCCAGCACUCCAAACCCAACUCCACCUCCACCCAAAGCCACCCAGUUCAGCGCUCCGCCUCAAAUCUACAACAAGGCUCCCUCCGGAUGUGGAGGACCCGAGCCCAAACCAGCCCAGAAUGAACAACCUCCAACGUCUUCCCGCCAAGGGUCGUCCACUCCAGCCCCAUUAAGCGAUAAUCCCAGCCUGGCUCGAGUUCAGCAGGUUCUGGCCAGAGUUCAGCUCCUCCAAGAGGACGUGGAUGAGUUUGUAGGGAAAAAGAUGGACAAGAGCUACCGGUGCCUGGAGGAACUUUUGACAAAAGAGCUGCUGGAAUUGGACUCUGUGGAGACCAAAGGGCAGGACGUCGUUCGACAGGCUCGCAAAGAUGCUGUCCAGAGGAUCCAGGCCAUCUUGGACCACCUUGAGAAAAAGGCUUUCUAAUAACAGGGUGGAUUGAUUAUGAUGGUUCUGGUUGUUCUUUUUUUUCUUUCUUUUUAAUGAUAUCUUCUCAUGAUAACAGAUUAGAAUUUUCACAGUUGCCAGUUAGUUUGCCAGCAUUAACUCUGUGGUGUUUUGGGGUCGCGUACCCUACCGAUGGUAAUGUAUUAGUUGAAAUACAGGCGCAAAAUGUCCUAAUCAUUGCAGUGCCAUAUUCAAACCAGCCUUCUGACAUCCAGCAAAGAGCAGCAGUCUGACAUCUGCUCAGAAUUAAACAUAAGUCUCAUUGCAUAACACCAUCUUAAGACUUUCGUGUUUUUUUUUUUCUUGAGUCUAGGCAGACUGAAAGGAUAAAACAGAGCUAAUUCAACCACAUUUUAAUACUUCCAUUGGUUUUUGGUAGCACAACUUUUCAAGAUCAGAGCCUUUUGCACUUGGAAUGUUGUUAAGCACUGCUAUUACACCAAUACAUUCUUGAUUUUAUUGUAAAAUAUCUUGAUUUAUAAAUAAAAGAAGGUCAGUUUUUUGUAACUCACUCCAUUUAAUUUCACCCAUUUUCUGUUGUAUUGUGUAUUAGUUUUAUCACCAGUUUCAUUCAGUCACCUUCCUCAUGGAAAUUAGCCAAGUUUCAGCAUCAAAAAGGUCCAUUCUCCAAUGCAUGCAAUGCACGAAACACUGCUCACACAAGUCACUUUCAAACCAAGCAGCUCUCUGUUGAUUAAUGUGACAAAUUGCCAUUACACAAAAUUCCCAAUCUUGGAGAUUCCUAUUGAAAUUAUUGGAUUUCACUGGCAAAAUUUCAUAACCGUAAAUGUGACUGGACCUUAAGUGAUUACACAUGCCAGUUUUUGAUUCAGAUCAUGGUUCUGUCUCAUUACAAACCCACAUCUUGGAUGGAUCUCAGACCAACUCUCACACUGCAAUUGGAUCCAUAGUUCAUGUUUCAUUACUCUUUUUCCAGGCCUCAUCUGGAUUUUAAAGACCCCUUAAAUUAAGAAAUGGCAUUUUGUGGAUUUUAGACCAUAUUUGUUAGCUUUUGAGACCAUCUUCAUGCUAGUAUACUAUUAAAAGUUGACAAACCUUCAGUACCACUUGCCUCUAACAAGCAAUAGUGAGUAGCAAAUCAUGAUUUUCCAAGGCUGCGAUGUAUACUAGGCUAUUUUAUAAAAAGACAAACUCUUUGAUAUGUUUUGCCCCAACUUCGUUAUAAAAAAUUGCAUUCAUCAAACCACUGGAUGUAGUCUUUAAUGAUCAAUGAAGCCUUCAUCUGCUGUGGUCACUUCCUUUGAUUGUGCACCUGCAUCUCAGUUCAUUUUUUUAGUACAGGCCUUUGUGUUAACAUGAUUGUUUACAUCCUGCAGUUCGGAGGACUUUUGGCUAUUGUUUGUUUCCUUUGUGUGACUACUGAUCUGUAGCUGAUUCAAUGCAUCUGCGUCAGUGUCCAGGUGGCGGUAGCCAUCUGCGGGCCUGUAUACAGUCAAACAGGAGGCCUUUUUAAAAAAAUUAAUAAUGUACAGUUUAUAUCUGAAGGACUGGAGCAGGGAUGCGAAUUAUGGACAGAACAUCAGCACUUCUCCAUGGAAUAAAAGUUCCCUUUAACUUCACUACAUUUAAUCCUUUGCACCAAAGUCACUGACUGACAUCAUGGACCGUUCAACAGGUCUUCCUCCUACCACACAGAUUUCAUGUCUGUUUUGUAACCAGGAAAAACUGUGCCAUAAUAUCAGCAGGUGCUUUUUCAUACCACAACAGAGAAGUAUCUCAAAUACAAAAAAACUGCAAAUCAACUGAGCUCUGCAUGAAGCCUCGGAUUCCACGUUUAUCUUUACUGUAUGUGUUUUCGCUCUCUCUCUGUACAUUUUCUCUUAUGUAUACCUGAAAUUGUUUAUUAGAUUAAUCUUUACAGA
RNA transcript from Sinocyclocheilus grahami, 3349 nucleotides. It is a transcript of the gene named BAG family molecular chaperone regulator 4-like, with no coding region annotated. NCBI's taxonomy places the organism in Eukaryota, Metazoa, Chordata, Actinopteri, Cypriniformes, Cyprinidae. The record is from RefSeq and is a predicted model, not a curated record. The transcript is spliced from 6 exons.